Molecule: ribosomal RNA, 253 nt
Filed under: uncultured bacterium
Lineage: Bacteria
Description: partial 16S ribosomal RNA
Rfam family: Bacterial small subunit ribosomal RNA
Source: RNAcentral
UACGUAGGGGUCAAGCGUUGUCCGGAAUCAUUGGGCGUAAAGAGCGUGUAGGCGGCCCGAUAAGUCCGCUGUGAAAGUCCAGGGCUCAACCCUGGGAUGCCGGUGGAUACUGUCGGGCUCGAGUCCGGAAGAGGAGUGUGGAAUUCCUGGUGUAGCGGUGAAAUGCGCAGAUAUCAGGAGGAACACCAAUGGCGAAGGCAGCACUCUGGGACGUGACUGACGCUGAGACGCGAAAGCGUGGGGAGCAAACAGG